Molecule: ribosomal RNA, 813 nt
Filed under: Triticum aestivum (bread wheat)
Lineage: Eukaryota; Viridiplantae; Streptophyta; Magnoliopsida; Poales; Poaceae
Description: partial small subunit ribosomal RNA
Source: RNAcentral
GCGACCAGCGACCGCGGCCUGUCGGUGGCAGAGGCCAUGUCUCGCGUCAGGGCGAAUGGCAAAACGGCGUUCAUCCCGUACAUCACCGCCGGCGACCCCGACCUGGCGACCACGGCGGAGGCGCUCAGGCUCCUCGACAGCCUCGGCGCCGACGUCAUCGAGCUCGGCUUGCCCUUCUCGGACCCCUCUGCCGACGGGCCAGUGAUUCAGGCAUCCGCUGCCCGUGCGUUGGCUGCUGGCGCGACCACGGACACCAUGAUGUCGAUGCUCAAGGAGGUGACGCCGGAGCUGUCCUGCCCCGUGGUCAUCUUCUCUUACUUCAACCCCAUUGUACGCCGUGGGGCAGGGAGUUUCGCUGCGGCUGCCAAAGAAGCCGGUGUCAAAGGCAUUAUCAUACCCGACCUUCCAUACGAGGAGAUGCAUGCUUUCAGGAAAAAAGCCAUCAAGAACAAUCUAGAGCUGAUCCUCCUUACAACGCCAGCUACACCAUUAGAGAGGAUGAAAGAAAUCACAAAAGCUUCGGAAGGGUUUGUUUACCUUGUAAGUGUUGUUGGAGUUACAGGAGCUAGGGCGAACGUAAACCCAUGUGUCAAGGAUCUUCUUCAGGAGAUUAGACAGGUCACAGACAAGGCAGUGGCGGUUGGCUUUGGCAUAUCGACCCCGGAACAUGUUAGCCAGAUUGCCGAGUGGGGUUCAGAUGGAGUGAUCAUUGGUAGUGCAAUGGUGAAACAAUUGGGUGAAGCAAACUCUCCAGGAGAAGGAUUAGAGAGGCUAGAAGUAUAUGCCAAGAGUUUGAAGAAUGCACUCCCAUGA